Molecule: ribosomal RNA, 253 nt
Filed under: uncultured bacterium
Lineage: Bacteria
Description: partial 16S ribosomal RNA
Rfam family: Bacterial small subunit ribosomal RNA
Source: RNAcentral
UACGGGGGGGACAAGCGUUGUUCGGAUUUACUGGGCGUAAAGGGCGCGUAGGCGGACCUCUAAGUCGGGUGUGAAAACUGUUGGCUUAACUGACAGCCUGCACUCGAUACUGGAGGCCUUGAGUACGGAAGAGGAGAGUGGAAUUCCAGGUGUAGCGGUGAAAUGCGUAGAUAUCUGGAAGAACACCAGUAGCGAAGGCGGCUCUCUGGUCCGAUACUGACGCUUAAGCGCGAAGGCUUGGGGAGCAAACAGG